RNAcentral lists this ribosomal RNA (253 nucleotides) under uncultured bacterium. RNAcentral's name for it is "partial 16S ribosomal RNA". It matches the Rfam family "Bacterial small subunit ribosomal RNA", at positions 524 to 776 of the family's 1533-position model. The record is from RNAcentral.
UACGUAGGUGACAAGCGUUGUCCGGAUUUACUGGGCGUAAAGAGCGCGCAGGCGGUCGAUCAAGUCGAGUGUGAAAGCCCCCGGCUCAACUGGGGAGGGUCAUUCGAUACUGAUCGACUCGAAGGCGGUAGAGGGUAGUGGAAUUCCCGGUGUAGCAGUGAAAUGCGUAGAGAUCGGGAGGAACAUCCGUGGCGAAGGCGACUACCUGGACCAGCACUGACACUGAGGCACGAAAGCGUGGGGAGCAAACAGG